GUUGUCGUCAGCUCGUGUCGUGAGAUGUUGGGUUAAGUCCCGCAACGAGCGCAACCCUUGUCAUUAGUUGCUACAUUCAGUUGGGCACUCUAAUGAGACUGCCGGUGACAAACCGGAGGAAGGUGGGGAUGACGUCAAGUCCUCAUGGCCCUUAUAGGUGGGGCUACGCACGUCAUACAAUGGAUGGUACAAAGGGUCGCCAACCCGCGAGGGGGAGCCAAUCCCAUAAAGCCAUUCGUAGUCCGGAUCGCAGUCUGCAACUCGACUGCGUGAAGUCGGAAUCGCUAGUAAUCGUGGAUCAGAAUGUCACGGUGAAUACGUUCCCGGGUCUU
RNAcentral lists this ribosomal RNA (332 nucleotides) under uncultured Acidovorax sp. RNAcentral's name for it is "bacterial SSU rRNA". It matches the Rfam family "Bacterial small subunit ribosomal RNA", at positions 1048 to 1382 of the family's 1533-position model. Lineage: Bacteria; Pseudomonadati; Pseudomonadota; Betaproteobacteria; Burkholderiales; Comamonadaceae. The record is from RNAcentral.